Molecule: ribosomal RNA, 274 nt
Filed under: uncultured bacterium
Lineage: Bacteria
Description: partial 16S ribosomal RNA
Rfam family: Bacterial small subunit ribosomal RNA
Source: RNAcentral
AUACAGAGGGUGCGAGCGUUAAUCGGAAUUACUGGGCGUAAAGCGCGCGUAGGCGGUCUAUUAAGUCAGAUGUGAAAUCCCAGGGCUCAACCUUGGAACUGCAUCUGAUACUGGUAGACUAGAGUUUUGGAGAGGGAAGUAGAAUUUCAGGUGUAGCGGUGAAAUGCAUAGAGAUCUGAAGGAAUACCAGUGGCGAAGGCGACUUCCUGGCCAAAAACUGACGCUGAGGUGCGAAAGCGUGGGUAGCAAACGGGAUUAGAAACCCUAGUAGUCC